UACGUAGGGGGCAAGCGUUGUCCGGAUUUAUUGGGCGUAAAGAGCGUGUAGGCGGCCAGAUAGGUCAGCUGUGAAAACUCGAGGCUCAACCUCGAGACGUCGGUUGAAACCAUCUGGCUAGAGUCCGGAAGAGGAGAGUGGAAUUCCCGGUGUAGCGGUGAAAUGCGCAGAUAUCGGUAGGAACACCAGUGGCGAAGGCGGUCUCCUGGGGCAUUCUUGACGCUGAGGCGCGAAAGCUGGGGGAGCAAACGGG
This 253-nucleotide ribosomal RNA is filed under the name uncultured bacterium. RNAcentral's name for it is "partial 16S ribosomal RNA". It matches the Rfam family "Bacterial small subunit ribosomal RNA", at positions 524 to 776 of the family's 1533-position model. The record is from RNAcentral.